UGAGGUUGUGCUCAGUGGUAGAGCGCUCACCUAACAUGUGUGAGGCACUGGGUUCGAUCCUCAGAACCACAU
RNAcentral lists this transfer RNA (72 nucleotides) under Marmota monax (woodchuck). Its description in RNAcentral is "tRNA.Val". It matches the Rfam family "tRNA". From Rfam's summary of the family: Transfer RNA (tRNA) molecules are approximately 80 nucleotides in length. Their secondary structure includes four short double-helical elements and three loops (D, anti-codon, and T loops). Lineage: Eukaryota; Metazoa; Chordata; Mammalia; Rodentia; Sciuridae. The record is from RNAcentral.